UGUUGGACAAUUCCCAGCUCUUGGUGUCACCCCACGUUGGAUGAUUCCCGGCUCCGGUGUCCCCAGUGUUGGACAAUUCCCAGCUCUUGGUGUCACCCCACGUUGGAUGAUUCCCGGCUCCGGUGUCCCCAGUGUUGGACAAUUCCCAGCUCUUGGUGUCACCCCACGUUGGAUGAUUCCCGGCUCCGGUGUCCCCAGUGUUGGACAAUUCCCAGCUCUUGGUGUCACCCCACGUUGGAUGAUUCCCGGCUCCGGUGUCCCCAGUGUUGGACAAUUCCCAGCUCUUGGUGUCACCCCACGUUGGAUGAUUCCCGGCUCCGGUGUCCCCAGUGUUGGACAAUUCCCAGCUCUUGGUGUCACCCCACGUUGGAUGAUUCCCGGCUCCGGUGUCCCCAGUGUUGGACAAUUCCCAGCUCUUGGUGUCACCCCACGUUGGAUGAUUCCCGGCUCCGGUGUCCCCAGUGUUGGACAAUUCCCAGCUCUUGGUGUCACCCCACGUUGGAUGAUUCCCGGCUCCGGUGUCCUCAGUGUUGGACAAUUCCCAGCUCUUGGUGUCACCCCACGUUGGAUGAUUCCCGGCUCCGGUGUCCCCAGUGUUGGACAAUUCCCGGCUCCUGGUGUCACCUCAGUUCAGACGAUUCCCGGCUCCAAUGUCCCCAGAGUUGGACAAUCCACAGCUCUUGAUGUCACCCCAGGUUGGAUGUUUCCCAGCUCCGGUGUCACCCCAGGUCAGACAUUUUCCAGCUCCAAUGUCCCCAACAUCAGACUUUUCUCAGCUCCGAUGUCACCCC
This 791-nucleotide long non-coding RNA is filed under the name Struthio camelus australis. Its description in RNAcentral is "lncRNA (ENSSCUG00000016314.1)". Lineage: Eukaryota; Metazoa; Chordata; Aves; Struthioniformes; Struthionidae. The record is from RNAcentral.